GCCAUGCAUAUAGACAGCCAAGUCAUUAUGAAUCUCGCAUUCUCGAAGACACGCACUGACGACAUCACGCACGUACGCACGCCCUGGCUGCUAGGAGACGCUAUUCCCUUUACCAGGCCCUCAUGCGCGCCAGCCAGCCAGGCCAAGGCCAGGGGAGCUCGAGACCGGCAACCUGGGCGAAGAACCGGAAGGAGGAAAAGGUGAUGAGAAACAUCCACACUCUUAAUGUCUUGCCUCCUUCUCCCGCAUUGACUUCAUAACCAAGUUCUGGGUCCCUGCCUCUGGAGUACCUGAUGAGACAAAACUGCUCCUCGUCCUGCAUCCCCGCUGCUACUUCCAGAACUCGGGGCUCGUGGUCUGGAGCCUGCACUGUUCCAUGAGCCUCCUGACCAACCUGGAAGGCUCUGUCUUUCCUCCCUCAGUGAGAUGCACUUACUUCUUCCUGGAGAAGCCCGAGGAAGCAGGAAUGCUGGAGAUGAGCUGCCCCUCACUCUCACUCCUGGGUGUGCUGGGCAGUGGGGUGCAAUGCGCACGUGGGUGCACACUCUCCCUGGGCAGCAUCGAGCAGCAGAGUUCUGAUCUGUGGUCGGAUGAGGAGAGGAAGUCCAAGUAAAGCAGCUGCAGCGGUGAGUGGGCCUAGGAAGAAUGGCAUCACCAGGCCAGGUAGGGAUGCGGGUGGUGGUCAGCUAUCCCUGAGAAAGGGACCAGAAUGCACCUGAGUCUUGAUUUUCAUUCCCAAUAGCAGGUCAGCACCAGACCCGAAAACGCUCUGAUUUCUGCCCUCCACGCCACACUCUCUUCACCUGCUGCCUCCUCACUCCUCCCGUUAACAAUGUCCUGGCAGGAACAAGACUUUCCCCUCCCUCUCUGCUUGUCUCUUAGCAGGUCAGGUCAGCCUUCACCUCCCCAGGCCCGUCCUGCUCCUGCCUUCCCCUGUGCGGCCCUCCGUGGAUGCUCUGGAGCCCCAGGCAAUAAUCAGCCAACUGUGGGCAUGGGGGGCCUUCUCGGGUUCUUUGCUGUGCUGCCAUGAAACCGCUCUGCCUGGCUGCACCCCACUAGCUCACACUCAACUGACCCCAACUCCUGGGGCCGGGGGUGUGUCUCCUCAAGGUCUGCUUUCUUCUUCAGGCCUUGCUUGCAUGCCCGUUGUGCCACACGUUGUGUCUCUUUUAGGAAAUCCUUGUCUUUUCCAAAGAUCCUGCUUUGCAGCUGACCGUACCCGCUGCCUGUCUCUGCCAGGAUACUGCCUUCUUCCUGAAACUACAGCCCCACUCAGGUCUUCCUUCCAUCCUAAUCCCUGGGGAGCCCCCUGCAGAGCUCCCUGUCCAUCCCAGUGGCCUUCUGAGCCUUGC
This is an RNA transcript of Piliocolobus tephrosceles (Ugandan red Colobus), 1352 nucleotides long. RefSeq lists it as uncharacterized. NCBI's taxonomy places the organism in Eukaryota, Metazoa, Chordata, Mammalia, Primates, Cercopithecidae. The record is from RefSeq and is a predicted model, not a curated record. The transcript has 5 exons.